This 463-nucleotide ribosomal RNA is filed under the name uncultured bacterium. RNAcentral's name for it is "bacterial SSU rRNA". It matches the Rfam family "Bacterial small subunit ribosomal RNA", at positions 32 to 524 of the family's 1533-position model. The record is from RNAcentral.
AAUCAACGCUGGCGGCGUGCCUAACACAUGCAAGUCGCACGAGAAAGGGAUUUCGGUCCUGAGUAAAGUGGCGCACGGGUGAGUAACACGUGACUAAUCUACCUCCGAGUGGGGAAUAACUGAGGGAAACCUUAGCUAAUACCGCAUAACACUUACGAGUCAAAGCAGCAAUGCGCUUGGAGAGGAGGUCGCGGCAGAUUAGCUAGUUGGCGGGGUAAUGGCCCACCAAGGCGAUGAUCUGUAUCCGGCCUGAGAGGGCGCACGGACACACUGGAACUGAAACACGGUCCAGACUCCUACGGGAGGCAGCAGUGGGGAAUUUGCGCAAUGGGGGAAACCCUGACGCAGCAACGCCGCGUGGAGGAUGAAGUCUCUUGGGACGUAAACUCCUUUCGAUAGGGAAGAUAAUGACGGUACCUAUAGAAGAAGCCCCGGCUAACUUCGUGCCAGCAGCCGCGGUAAU